RNAcentral lists this ribosomal RNA (419 nucleotides) under uncultured bacterium. Its description in RNAcentral is "partial 16S ribosomal RNA". It matches the Rfam family "Bacterial small subunit ribosomal RNA", at positions 362 to 773 of the family's 1533-position model. The record is from RNAcentral.
UAUUGUACAAUGGGGGCAACCCUGAUCCAGCCAUGCCGCGGGUGUGAAGAAGGUCUUCNGAUUGUNANGCACUUUAAGUUGGGAGNCAGGGCUUUAGGUUAAUACCCUGAAGUUUUGACGUUACCAACAGAAUAAGCACCGGCUAACUCUGUGCCAGCAGCCGCGGUAAUACCGAGGGUGCAAGCGUUAAUCGGAAUUACUGGGCGUAAAGCGCGCGUAGGUGGUUCAGUAAGAUGGGGUGGAAAUCCCCGGGCUUAACCUGGGAACUGCUUUCAUAAAUGCGGAGCUAGAGUACGGUAGAGGGUAGUGGAAUUUCCUGUGUAGCGGUGAAAUGCGUAGAUAUCGGAAGGAACACCAGUGGCGAAGGCGACUACCUGGACUGAUACUGACACUGAGGUGCGAAAGCGUGGGGAGCAAAC